GGUUACUGCUAUCGGGGUCCGACUAAGCCAUGCGAGUUGAGAGGGGUAAGCCCUCGGCAUACUGCUCAGUAACACGCGGAUAACCUGCCCUUGGGUCCGGGAUAACCCCGGGAAACUGGGACUAAUACCGGAUAGAUCAGAGAAACUGGAAUGUUCUCUGGUUCAAAACUCCGGUGCCCAAGGAUGGGUCUGCGGCCUAUCAGGUAGUAGUGGGUGUAACGUACCUACUAGCCAGCGACGGGUAAGGGUUGUGAGAGCAAGAUCCCUGAGAUGGAUUCUGAGACAUGAAUCCAGGCCCUACGGGGUGCAGCAGGCGCGAAAACUUUACACUGCGGGAAACCGCGAUAAGGGGACCCCGAGUGCCAGCACCUAGUGCUGGCUGUCCUACUGUCUAAAUAACAGUGGUUAGCAAGGGCCGGGCAAGACCGGUGCCAGCCGCCGCGGUAACACCGGCGGCCCGAGUGGUAACCGUUUUUAUUGGGUUUAAAGGGUCCGUAGCCGGCUUACUAAGUCUCUUGGGAAAUCUGGCGGCUCAAUCGUCAGGCGGCCAAGAGAUACUGGUAGGCUUGGGACCGGGAGAGGUGGGAGGUACUCCAGGGGUAGGGGUGAAAUCUCGUAAUCCUUGGGGGACCACCGAUGGCGAAGGCAUCCCACCAGAACGGGUCCGACGGUGAGGGACGAAAGCUGGGGGCACGAACCGGAUUAGAUACCCGGGUAGUCCCAGCUGUAAACGAUGCUCGCUAGGUGUCAGGUGCGGUGCGACCGCAUCUGGUGCCGCAGUGAAAACUUGAAGCGAGUCACCUGGGAAGUACGGUCGCAAGGCUGAAACUUAAAGGAAUUGGCGGGGGAGCACUACAACGGGUGGAGCCUGCGGUUC
Molecule: ribosomal RNA, 877 nt
Filed under: uncultured archaeon
Lineage: Archaea
Description: bacterial SSU rRNA
Rfam family: Archaeal small subunit ribosomal RNA
Source: RNAcentral